GACGAACGCUGGCGGCGUGCUUAACACAUGCAAGUCGAACGGAAAGGCCCUGCUUUUGUGGGGUGCUCGAGUGGCGAACAGGUGAGUAACACGUGAGUAACCUGCCCUUGACUUUGGGAUAACUUCAGGAAACUGGGGCUAAUACCGGAUAGGAGCUCCUGCUGCAUGGUGGGGGUUGGAAAGUUUCGGCGGUUGGGGAUGGACUCGCGGCUUAUCGGCUUGUUGGUGGGGUAGUGGCUUACCAAGGCUUUGACGGGUAGCCGGCCUGAGAGGGUGACCGGCCACAUUGGGACUGAGAUACGGCCCAGACUCCUACGGGAGGCAGCAGUGGGGAAUAUUGCACAAUGGGCGGAAGCCUGAUGCAGCAACGCCGCGUGCGGGAUGACGGCCUUCGGGUUGUAAACCGCUUUCGCCUGUGACGAAGCGUGAGUGACGGUAAUGGGUAAAGAAGCACCGGCUAACUACGUG
This 468-nucleotide ribosomal RNA is filed under the name uncultured bacterium. RNAcentral's name for it is "partial 16S ribosomal RNA". It matches the Rfam family "Bacterial small subunit ribosomal RNA", at positions 28 to 507 of the family's 1533-position model. The record is from RNAcentral.